RNAcentral lists this long non-coding RNA (965 nucleotides) under Pogona vitticeps (central bearded dragon). Its description in RNAcentral is "lncRNA (ENSPVIG00000003830.1)". Lineage: Eukaryota; Metazoa; Chordata; Lepidosauria; Squamata; Agamidae. The record is from RNAcentral.
UAACCACCUACACUUGGUGUUCUCUCUCUCUCUCUUUUUUUUUUUUUACCCAAAUAAUAAAUAAGGAUAGAUGCAAAAGCCCUGUUCUCUUUUGUGUCUGCAAAUGCUACAGGAGACAAAGCCUAGGUACAUCUGCUUUGGGAAAGCAAAUGAACAAAGGAUGGCACUUCUGAAGACACAAGUGCAGCCUGCGAUACUAGACUGUGUGAAGAGAGGACUCCCUUUGUUUGCAGUGUGAGCAAAAUCCACUGAAAGAUUUUCCUGCAGCACAAACCUAAAGAAGAGAUGGCAGAUAUUAAAAAGACUAAACACAACUAGGAUUCUCGAAGGCUUUCACAGCCGGGAUCUGGGUCAAAGAGCCCGAAAAACCCACAGCAAGCACAACUAGGAUUGUUUCACAAGAAAAUUUUACAUGACCUAAAAUAGCAACUCUCCAUUUGGCAGCUCUCCAGUGUUGGUUUCUGCUAGCCAUCAGCAUGUCCUUUGGUUUAAGAUGAUGGGAACAUCCUGGAGCCCCCAUCAUUUUUUUAUUCUGAAGAAGUACACUGAAUUAUAUAUCAAAAUCAUAUUUAGUAUUCUGUGAUGGACUACUCCAAAACCAUGGCUGAAAAGUUAAUCCCUAUAUGAUGUAUAAGAAUAUGUAAAAUUGAAUAACUAGUACUGUAGGUGAAUUUCUCUGGAGGCGCUUGAAACAGACUUUCUGCCUGAUUAUGUCUCUUAGGCUCAAAAAUCUACCAACUCUCACUCUCUUCUAAUUAUUAUGUUUGAAGCUGUUUCUCUUACUAUUCUUAGACUGAUGCAACACACCAUGAUUGCAAUCAACAUCCCCAGUUCUACCCUGUAUAGUUUGUCAAACAAGGCUUCAAGCUCAGAGAAUUUGGUCUGACCUGCUCUUGUGGAUUUGACAGGAAGAUCCUGCCACAGUUUCCCAUCAAACCCCCAGGAGCAUCUCUCAUAAAAACAUU